UAAGGAAUAUUGGUCAAUGGACGCAAGUCUGAACCAGCCAUGCCGCGUGGAGGAUGAAGGCCCUCUGGGUUGUAAACUUCUUUUAUAUGGGACGAAAAAGGGUCUUUCUAGAUCAACUGACGGUACCAUGUGAAUAAGCACCGGCCAACUCCGUGCCAGCAGCCGCGGUAAUACGGAGGGUGCAAGCGUUAUCCGGAUUCACUGGGUUGAAAGGGUGCGUAGGUGGGUUGGUAAGUCAAUGGUGAAAUCUCCGAGCUUAACUUGGAAACUGCCAUUAAUACUAUCAGUCGUGAAUAUUGUGGAGGUAAUCGGAAUAUGUCAUGUGGCGGUGAAAUGCUUAGAUAUGGCAUAGAACACCAAUUGCGAGGACGGCUGGCUACGCAUAUAUUGACACGGAGGCACGAAAGCGUGGGGAGCAAACA
This 422-nucleotide ribosomal RNA is filed under the name uncultured bacterium. Its description in RNAcentral is "bacterial SSU rRNA". It matches the Rfam family "Bacterial small subunit ribosomal RNA", at positions 355 to 774 of the family's 1533-position model. The record is from RNAcentral.